RNAcentral lists this ribosomal RNA (678 nucleotides) under Triticum aestivum (bread wheat). Its description in RNAcentral is "partial small subunit ribosomal RNA". The record is from RNAcentral. Lineage: Eukaryota; Viridiplantae; Streptophyta; Magnoliopsida; Poales; Poaceae.
AUGUAUAUAGAGUCUAGGUAUAGGUUGAGGUCGAGUAGUGCCCAUGUGGCGUAUGGCUGUAUGCCGAUGUGGAGAGCGCCGCCGCCGCGUACGAGCAGCGGCUGGUGGCUCACGGUGGCUGCGUCUCAGGCAAGGCUGGCUGGCGGCCAGUCGCUGCCGAGGGGCGUGCUGCUGGCUCAUCCACCAAUAAGCUCGUCUGGUCCCCUGUUCUGGAGGCUCUCCGAUAUUUCUCUAGCUCGUGGCGUCGCCGUGGUGGUGAAGACGAAGAGUAGAAGAGAUGGAGAACCAGAUCGGGUCAGUGCUCUUAUCCGGUGGCUGUUUGGGAGUGGCCUUGGCGCCAGCUACGGCGUUCGGCGGCCGGCCGGCUCCAUCACGUCAUCGUACAUGCUGGCCGAAGGGCGGCCUUUCUACUUCUUCCUCCCGGCCAAGAUGCCUAAAGGGAGGCAGCUCAUCUUCUGCACGGAGUCUAUGGCGUGGUGCCAUGGAAGCUUAGUUGUCCCAAGUGGCAAUGUCCCCGGCGACGGCGAAGUUACGGCCGUGCAGAAGAUGUCAAGGACCCGAUUGCUUUUCUUAUCUGGUUGUUGGGGUCCUCUUUGUAAAAGACAGGGACCAGUGUGUUAUUUGCAGUUAGUUCUGGGUCCGUCUGUAAAAUGCUGUGUACUUCAUGUUCAGUGUUAA